Acipenser ruthenus (sterlet) is the source of this 4241-nucleotide long non-coding RNA. RefSeq lists it as uncharacterized. Lineage: Eukaryota; Metazoa; Chordata; Actinopteri; Acipenseriformes; Acipenseridae. The transcript is spliced from 2 exons. The record is from RefSeq and is a predicted model, not a curated record.
GUGACUACAAGAAAAUUCUUAACGGAACAGCAUUCACAGAAUGUACAUUUCCCUUGAAAAUCAAUUGCUCUGGAGCCUAGAGAUUCUGUAAUGUUAAUAUUCCUGAUGGUUUUUAGAAUAGGAUUGUGCUGAUAAUGUGUUAAUGUAUGACAAGGUAUGUUCCUGUAUGCACACUUUACAUGAUAACAUGCAUGAACAGAUAAUACUGUAAUAUAUAGCCUUUCUCUAUGUAAAAAAGGAUGACAAGGUUGCUAAUAUUUCAAUACCAGGGAAAGUGUUUUCCAAAAAGCAAUGUGAAUGCCAGUCCCAUAAUAUGAAACAUUGUAGCAAAACAACCCCAAAAAUAGAAACAGGUUUAAAAAUAAAAGUGAUCUUCCAAAAAUGUUUCAGAUGAUCGUUUCCACCUGUUAAAUCCAACAUCUUUUUAUUCUGGUUAGAGUGAUGUUUCUACAAAAUAUGCAGUGAACCAGUCCCAUUAUAGGGUUAUUAACCAAUGGUUUAAAACCCAUUAUCUUCACUUAGCUUUUUUAGGAAACACAGAUAUUCAAAUACAGCCUAAUAGAUUCCUUUCUUUUGAGAAAAUCCACAAAAAAUGAUAUCUGGUACCAAAUAAGUCUUGCACUUCCUUGGUCAUUUCAGCUAGAAAAUGAAGUUGUCCCCACCUUUUCAGUGUCUUCUGUCCUGUAACCAACCAACUGUUUCCCCUAAUGACGGAUAUUCUUUGCAGCCAGUACCAGCCAGUAACAUGCUUUGACCCCAUUGGCAUUGAUGGCAUUUUAACUACAACCGCUUUAAAGUAAAAUAAGCAAGCACAGAUGCAAGAGAUAUUCAAUUGCAAAUAAGAUGUAAGCAUAUUAAUAUAUUAAUUUUAAAGCCUUGGUUAUCGCACUUUAUUCUAUAUAUGUUUUAACUGUAUGCAAAAGCACAUACUGUAUGCAAAAGCACUAGAAUCGUCUGCAUUUUGAUCAUGGAUAAAGGCUUCCUGAUGAAUGGCUUUAUAGCCCCUUCCUAUAAUACUGUAUGCUAAAAAUUAAACAUUUUUGAAGAAAAAAACGUUUAUAGAAGUUGUUCAUUUAGUAUUCUGGAACCAUCAGUGUUUAUUUUAAAAGCUUGCUGAAUGUUUUAUAAGUAAGGAGACAAGAUUAUUAUUUUUAGAAAACUAAUAAAUAUGUAAGGCAGUUUGCAUGUGUGUGUUAUUUAUUAUUUGCCCUGAGAUCUGGCGUGAACACAGUACUGUCUAAUUGUAUCAAAGUACCUACAAAAGCCUUGCAUCCCACUAUUCCAGUUACGGUUCAAGUACUUUGCUUCCAAUUUCGAAUCAAGACAUUUCCCUUAAGACUUUAGCAUUUGAAACUGCAGUUUACACUUUAUGUCAGUAGAUGGCAGUAUUGAAUUUCAUUGCAGUAUUUUCAGAGGCAGUGGAAAAAUACAGUGUAAAAUAUUGUUUUUCUUUUCAUUUAUCUCAUGCAGACAAUAUGUAUCUAUGUACAGAAGGUGUAUAUUAUACUUAUAGGGAUGCAGAUCUUUAUAAUAGGUUUAUAAUAGUAAGACAUUCAUAACAGUAAACUUGCUUGGUGAGACCCAGGGGUGAAAUUCUGCCGGGAUUAAACGGUACUCCGUACCGGGUCUUAUUUUAAUGCCGGUACUGGGUACCAGGAUUUAUUUAAUCUGAUUUUCAUCCAACGAGGAUGCAUUCCAUACACUCACACAGUCCACUGGUGCAAUGUUUCUCAUAUGCACUUUCAUUCAGCACAGUUCAUGCUGCUUGCAUUUGGUUUCCUCAUAUUGCUUCUGUUUCUGUUUCUGUUAGAUGCUAUUGGCCACCAUUAAUGUCAGUAUAAUCACUACCUGUUGAUUGGCCAAGCUCUCAUUCUGGUCAGAUUUCAUUUUGGCAUGCGUCACAAAUCUUCGCCCAUUUCGCUUUGUGUCAGUGCUCAUUAGUUGAUCAAUGAGAGAAGACUAGCAGUGUGAUGUGAAAACAGCGGUAUAGAGUAAUUAUUAUUAUUAUUUUUUUUUUGUAAUUAUUAUUUCUUUAUUUAUUUUACUUUGUGCCCACAGGUACAUCUCAAUAGUGCAGCACUAAUACAAAGAGAGACCUAAUAAUAAACAAUACAGCAAUUAUACAUCCAAGCAAUAUCAAUAAAAACACACAUAUACACACGCGUAUACAUACAAUACACAAAUAUAUUAAAAGAUACAGAGAUACAGAUAUUUAUAUUUAAAUUACAUUACAACUAAAACAAGUUCACCUCAAACGCAGAUUGUACAGAGUAGCAGUUUUAAACCCAGAGAGGCUUGAUAAUGACAAUGAAUCCGGAAGGGCAUUCCAUAACCCCAAGGUCUUUUACAAGCACAGACUCACAUAGAGGUCAACAAGAAUAAAAUAGAACCUUCUGCCACUUAAUGGUUUAAGAGAAGACCGACUAAGAAGGUUGUCAUAAGUAAAAUCCCAAUUUCAGUUAUUCAAUACAAUCCUACAAGCACAUUUUUGCACAGACUCAAGCUUCUUAGUAUUGUAUUUUUUAAAUGGGUCCCAGGUACUGGAAAACAGGUCUUACCAAACUCUUGUAAAGCUAGAAAACAACAUUUGGAGGGGCCUCUCUAAAAGAACGAAAAAUCACCCCCCAAAUUCUUCUCGCUUUGCUGCAAACAUAAUUGGUGUGGUGUGACCAGAGCAAGUUAUCAGAUACCCAAACCCCCAGGAGCUUAUAAUGCAUGACUUUCUCAAUUAGAACCCCUCCCCCCUCAGUUUCAAAUAAUUCAUUCUAAACCAAUAGACAUGUUGAAAAGCUAAUGAGUCUGUUUCUGGAUUUAUAAUUGUUUUAUAUAAUGUAGUGUCAUCUGUAAACAUAAGAAAAUUGGUAAAUUCUGAGAAGUGUAUAUUUGCCAAAUCAUUAACAUACAGAUUAAACAACAAAGGGCCCAAAACAGACCCUUGAGGAACACAUGAUAUCACUGGUAACUUAGAAGAAAGUUGUCCCUGGACAGCAACACUUUGCCAACGCCCCACAAGGUAAGAAGAAAACCAGCCCAAAAUGCCUUCACCAAACCUGUAUAGACAGUUUUGAUAAAAGGACAUUAUGUGGAAGUGAGUCAAAGCCUCUGGAGAGGUCAAAAAGUACUGUAACGUAACCGGAAUCCACAUUUUUGUAGCACAGACCAAGAAAUGUUCAAAUACAUCCCCUGUUCCUGAAUUAGUUUGAAAGCCAAACUGUGAUUUCGUUAAAAUCUGGUUAAAGGAAAGGUAGUUUUCACAAAAACUAUACACAGUCCUCUCCAGAACCUUCGAUAGAAUAGGUAAAAAGGACAUUAUUAUGGAGUAAUUAUUUUCUUUAGGGCGGUAGAGAAACUAUCAGAAUAUUUCAACAACCAUUGCUGCACAUGAAAUUGAAGGCAAAAAAUCCACGUCAGUGUUCGCCAUAAAUUACAUAGUUGAUAAAUAUUAGAAAUAAUUAUCACAACGCAUUUUGCCUUGCACCGAUUUAUCACCUUGCCAGAAUUUGCACAAAUGUUUCUAAAAUAGCAAGUGAUGUGUGGGACAGUAGGGAUUAACAUUUAAAAACAGGAUCAACAAAGUGCUGCUUCAGAUUUCGUAAGCGAGUCAAAAUCGGGAUACAGAUGUAGGUGUGCUUCACGCUUUUCAAACACUGGCCCAACUUGCAAGGUAUGUGUUAAGUAUAAUGAUCAAUGUUUUGUUUUGUUGUGAUCCAAGUAUUUUCUGUUAUGAGGACUGUAAUAAACGAAAACCAAAACAUGAGGUGUUUUUUCUUUGUACAAUGCCCCCUUUUCUACAAGUUUAUUUAAAUUAAUUUGAGUUUUCACUUACCUGUACAUAAAAAAAGUACCAGACAGUACCGAUAUUACUUUAUGAAAAUGUCUUUUGCUACUUUGUUUAUUGUGCAGAAACCACAAUGCCAGGGAUUUUUUUUUUUAAAAAGUCUACUUUUAUACUAUUUCUGCCUGAAAAAUCUUUUUCUGGGAUAUAUCAUGGUAGGUAAUCUACACAGAAUCACAACAGAGAAGCACACAGAAUAUGUUCUUGUAGGAUAAGUAAUAAGUAAAAAAUCUAAAUAAAAGAAACAGGGAUAUAUGUUCUAAUCCAAGGCUGUCAUUGUAGAAUGACCAGGUCCUCUAGAUGAGUACCCAGGGUCUGGAAAGUAUGGGGAUGAUUUCAGAGAAUACUAUGGAGAUUAAAAUGGCCAAGUCAAGUACAUCAUUUCUUAAAUAGUGCCUGUUACAUU